Molecule: ribosomal RNA, 301 nt
Filed under: uncultured bacterium
Lineage: Bacteria
Description: partial 16S ribosomal RNA
Rfam family: Bacterial small subunit ribosomal RNA
Source: RNAcentral
CAGUCGCCACGGGAAUACGAAGGGGGCUAGCGUUGUUCGGAAUUACUGGGCGUAAAGGGCGCGUAGGCGGCCAUUCAAGUUAGAUGUGAAAGCCCUGGGCUCAACCUAGGAAUUGCAUUUGAUACUGUUUGGCUUGAGUUCGGGAGAGGUGAGUGGAAUUCCCAGUGUAGAGGUGAAAUUCGUAGAUAUUGGGAAGAACACCAGUGGCGAAGGCGGCUCACUGGACCGACACUGACGCUGAGGCGCGAGAGCUAGGGGAGCAAACAGGAUUAGAUACCCGCGUAGUCCCUGUCUCUUAUAC